GAUGAACGCUGGCGGCGUGCCUAAUACAUGCAAGUCGAACGAAACUUCUUUAUCACCGAGUGCUUGCACUCACCGAUAAAGAGUUGAGUGGCGAACGGGUGAGUAACACGUGGGCAACCUGCCCAAAAGAGGGGGAUAACACUUGGAAACAGGUGCUAAUACCGCAUAACCAUAGUUACCGCAUGGUAACUAUGUAAAAGGUGGCUAUACUACCGCUUUUGGAUGGGCCCGCGGCGCAUUAGCGAGUUGGUAGGGUAAAGGCUUACCGAGGCAGUGAUGCGUAGCCGAGUUGAGAGGUUGAUCGGCCACAUUGGGACUGAGACACGGCCCAAACUCCUACGGGAGGCAGCAGUAGGGAAGCGUCCACAAUGGGCGAAAGCCUGCUGGAGCAGCGCCGGGUUGGUGAAGAAGGUCUUCGUAUCGUAAAACCCUGUUGUUAGUGUGGAAAGUGCGUGAGAGUAACGGUUCUCGUUUCGACGGUAUCUAACCGGAAAGCCACGGCUAACUACGUG
This 512-nucleotide ribosomal RNA is filed under the name uncultured bacterium. RNAcentral describes it as "partial 16S ribosomal RNA". It matches the Rfam family "Bacterial small subunit ribosomal RNA", at positions 28 to 507 of the family's 1533-position model. The record is from RNAcentral.